RNAcentral lists this transfer RNA (78 nucleotides) under Clostridiales bacterium. RNAcentral's name for it is "tRNA-Met". It matches the Rfam family "tRNA". From Rfam's summary of the family: Transfer RNA (tRNA) molecules are approximately 80 nucleotides in length. Their secondary structure includes four short double-helical elements and three loops (D, anti-codon, and T loops). Further hydrogen bonds mediate the characteristic L-shaped molecular structure. tRNAs have two regions of fundamental functional importance: the anti-codon, which is responsible for specific mRNA codon recognition, and the 3' end, to which the tRNAs corresponding amino acid is attached (by aminoacyl-tRNA synthetases). tRNAs cope with the degeneracy of the genetic code in two manners: having more than one tRNA (with a specific anti-codon) for a particular amino acid; and 'wobble' base-pairing, i.e. permitting non-standard base-pairing at the 3rd anti-codon position. Lineage: Bacteria; Bacillati; Bacillota; Clostridia; Eubacteriales. The record is from RNAcentral.
GGGCCUCUAGCUCAGUUGGUUAGCAGCAGCCGGCUCAUAACCGGCCGGUCCUCGGUUCGAGUCCGAGGGGGCCCACCA